UGCAAGGACAGGGAUAGUGCUGCCCCCGAAAACCAAAAGGCUCAGGUUUGGUAGAGCAGGGAAGGUGCAUAAAGCAGCACUCCUGACACCUAGCCCAGGGCAUUCCCUGCCUGGGCAGGACACUUGGCUCUCUUUCUGUCAUUCCACAGCCAGCAGGAAAAGUGGAUCAUGGGUAUGGACCGGAGCCAAGAGAUUGAGGUGCAGGCAGAGAAUUUCCGAGAGCCACGAGCUGAUGCAAGUCCUCAUGGGAACAUGUGAGAUAACCAAGUAGCAAAAGGCACUGGCAGAGUCCAGGCGAGAGCAGUGCAGCCACAGCCAGGGCAGCAUGGCAGGGCUCCACGUCCGCUCCCUUCUGGUGACUGGGGCCAACCGAGGCAUCGGCCUGGGGCUCGUCCAGCAUUUCCUGAGGAUGCCAAGCCCACCUCAGUGGAUCUUUGCAGGCUGUCGGGACCCCAAGGGACAGCGAGCACAGGAGUUACAGAAUUUGGCCUACA
Molecule: long non-coding RNA, 494 nt
Organism: Passer montanus (Eurasian tree sparrow)
Lineage: Eukaryota; Metazoa; Chordata; Aves; Passeriformes; Passeridae
Exons: 3
Source: RefSeq, a predicted model, not a curated record